AGAGUUUGAUUAUGGCUCAGGAUGAACGCUGGCGGCGUGCCUAACACAUGCAAGUCGAACGAGCGCUUCGGGCGCGAGUGGCGGACGGGUGAGUAACGCGUGGAUAACCUGCCUUAUACAGGGGGAUAACAGCGGGAAACUGCUGUUAAUACCGCAUAAGCGCACAGUACCGCAUGGUACAGUGUGAAAAAGCUCCGGCGGUAUAAGAUGGAUCCGCGUCUGAUUAGCCAGUUGGCGGGGUAACGGCCCACCAAAGCGACGAUCAGUAGCCGACUUGAGAGAGUGACCGGCCACAUUGGGACUGAGACACGGCCCAAACUCCUACGGGAGGCAGCAGUGGGGAAUAUUGCACAAUGGGGGAAACCCUGAUGCCAGCGACGCCGCGUGAGUGAAGAAGUAUUUCGGUAUGUAAAGCUCUAUCAGCAGGGAAGAAAAUGACGGUACCUGACUAAGAAGCCCCGGCUAAAUACGUGCCAGCCGCCGC
RNAcentral lists this ribosomal RNA (484 nucleotides) under uncultured bacterium. RNAcentral describes it as "bacterial SSU rRNA". It matches the Rfam family "Bacterial small subunit ribosomal RNA", at positions 8 to 518 of the family's 1533-position model. The record is from RNAcentral.